CUGUGUUCUCAGGGCGGGGUGAAAUUCCCCACCGGCGGUUAAAGCCCGCGAGCGCCCAUCAAAAGUGGGGUCAGCAGAUCCGGUGAAAUUCCGGGGCCGACGGUUAAAGUCCGGAUGAAAGAGAACGUUC
This 130-nucleotide non-coding RNA is filed under the name Marivivens sp. JLT3646. RNAcentral's name for it is "FMN riboswitch aptamer (RFN element)". It matches the Rfam family "FMN riboswitch aptamer (RFN element)". Rfam says of the family: The RFN element is a highly conserved domain that is found frequently in the 5'-untranslated regions of prokaryotic mRNAs that encode for flavin mononucleotide (FMN) biosynthesis and transport proteins. This element is a metabolite-dependent riboswitch that directly binds FMN in the absence of proteins. RNAcentral also lists the same sequence under 1 other name. Lineage: Bacteria; Pseudomonadati; Pseudomonadota; Alphaproteobacteria; Rhodobacterales; Paracoccaceae. The record is from Rfam by way of RNAcentral.